RNAcentral lists this ribosomal RNA (253 nucleotides) under uncultured Acidobacteriota bacterium. RNAcentral describes it as "uncultured Acidobacteria bacterium partial 16S ribosomal RNA". It matches the Rfam family "Bacterial small subunit ribosomal RNA", at positions 524 to 776 of the family's 1533-position model. Lineage: Bacteria; Pseudomonadati; Acidobacteriota. The record is from RNAcentral.
UACGUAGGUGGCAAGCGUUGUCCGGAUUUACUGGGCGUAAAGAGCGCGCAGGCGGUCGGAUUAGUCGCGUGUGAAAGCCCCCGGCUCAACUGGGGAGGGUCACGCGAUACUGUUCGACUUGAAGGCAGGAGAGGGAAGUGGAAUUCCCGGUGUAGUGGUGAAAUGCGUAGAUAUCGGGAGGAACACCAGUGGCGAAGGCGACUUCCUGGCCUGUUCUUGACGCUGAGGCGCGAAAGCUAGGGUAGCAAACGGG